Molecule: ribosomal RNA, 497 nt
Filed under: uncultured bacterium
Lineage: Bacteria
Description: partial 16S ribosomal RNA
Rfam family: Bacterial small subunit ribosomal RNA
Source: RNAcentral
GAUGAACGCUGGCGGCGUGCCUAAUACAUGCAAGUCGAGCGAACAGAUGAGGAGCUUGCUCCUCUGACGUUAGCGGCGGACGGGUGAGUAACACGUGGAUAACCUACCUAUAAGACUGGGAUAACUUCGGGAAACCGGAGCUAAUACCGGAUAAUAUAUUGAACCGCAUGGUUCAAUAGUGAAAGACGGUUUUGCUGUCACUUAUAGAUGGAUCCGCGCCGCAUUAGCUAGUUGGUAAGGUAACGGCUUACCAAGGCAACGAUGCGUAGCCGACCUGAGAGGGUGAUCGGCCACACUGGAACGGAGACACGGUCCAGACUCCAACGGGAGGCAGAAGUAGGGAAUGUUCCGCAAUGGGCGAAAGCAUGACGGAGCAACGCCGCGUGAGUGAUGAAGGUCUUCGGAUCGUAAAACUCUGUUAUUAGGGAAGAACAAAUGUGUAAGUAACUAUGCACGUAUUGACGGUACCUAAUCAGAAAGCCACGGCUAACUACGUG